CAAUAGCGUAUAUUAAAGUUGUUGCGGUUAAAAAGCUCGUAGUUGGAUUUCUGUCGAAGACGGUCGGUCCGCUCUAUGAGCGAGUAUCUGAUUCGGCUUUGGCAUCCUCGUGGGGAACGUAACUGUGCUUGAUUGCAUGGUGCGGAAUUCACGACUUUUACUUUGAGGAAAUUAGAGUGUUCACGGCAGGCAAGCGCCUUGAAUAUAUUAGCAUGGAAUAAUAAUAUAGGACUUUGGUUCUAUUUUGUGGUUUCUAGAGCUAAAAUAAUGAUUAAUAGGGACAAUUGGGGGCAUUCGUAUUAAUGCGUCAGAGGUGAAAUUCUUGGAUUGCAUUACGACGAACUACUGCGAAAGCAUUUGCCAAGGAUGUUUUUCAUUGAUCAAGAACGAAAGUAAGGGGAUCGAAGACGAUUAGAU
This 417-nucleotide ribosomal RNA is filed under the name uncultured eukaryote. RNAcentral describes it as "SSU rRNA". It matches the Rfam family "Eukaryotic small subunit ribosomal RNA", at positions 592 to 1013 of the family's 1831-position model. The record is from RNAcentral.